This 74-nucleotide transfer RNA is filed under the name Candidatus Pacearchaeota archaeon. RNAcentral's name for it is "tRNA-Gly". It matches the Rfam family "tRNA". From Rfam's summary of the family: Transfer RNA (tRNA) molecules are approximately 80 nucleotides in length. Their secondary structure includes four short double-helical elements and three loops (D, anti-codon, and T loops). Further hydrogen bonds mediate the characteristic L-shaped molecular structure. tRNAs have two regions of fundamental functional importance: the anti-codon, which is responsible for specific mRNA codon recognition, and the 3' end, to which the tRNAs corresponding amino acid is attached (by aminoacyl-tRNA synthetases). tRNAs cope with the degeneracy of the genetic code in two manners: having more than one tRNA (with a specific anti-codon) for a particular amino acid; and 'wobble' base-pairing, i.e. permitting non-standard base-pairing at the 3rd anti-codon position. Lineage: Archaea; Nanobdellati. The record is from RNAcentral.
GCGGACUUGGUGUAAGACUGGUAAGACAUCUGAUUUCCAAUCAGAAGAUUUGGGUUCAAAUCCUGAAGUCCGCA